GGGGGCGUACUGGUUUCGACGGGGAUAAUUGAUGCCUGAGAGGCAUGCCGGGGUUCCUACCGGGCCCGUUAACAAGGUAGGAAACACAUAAUCGCCAACGAUUAUAACUAUGCCCUAGCGGCGUAAAUCCGCUAGCGUCCCGGCGGGCUUUUCCUGUGGGCUCGCCGAGGGCGUCGCACAGCAGGAUCGCCCGGCCCAGUUUCCCACGGGGGCAGGGUUAAAGACAGUGGGAUCGUCUUCGCCGGAUCCCGUCCGCGGGAGCUGAUGAAGAUCAGAACAAAACGCGGACUAAGCAUGUAGGACUCUCAGAGUUGAAGAUUCUCGGACGCGGGUUCGAUUCCCGCCGCCUCCACCA
RNAcentral lists this transfer-messenger RNA (355 nucleotides) under bacterium. RNAcentral describes it as "JAFDED01 sp019310535 Standard tmRNA". It matches the Rfam family "transfer-messenger RNA". From Rfam's summary of the family: Bacterial tmRNA, also known as 10Sa RNA or SsrA, is named for its dual tRNA and mRNA-like properties. The record is from RNAcentral. RNAcentral also lists the same sequence under 1 other name.